RNAcentral lists this ribosomal RNA (536 nucleotides) under Salmonella enterica. Its description in RNAcentral is "partial 23S ribosomal RNA". It matches the Rfam family "Bacterial large subunit ribosomal RNA", at positions 711 to 1245 of the family's 2925-position model. Lineage: Bacteria; Pseudomonadati; Pseudomonadota; Gammaproteobacteria; Enterobacterales; Enterobacteriaceae. RNAcentral also lists the same sequence under 2 other names. The record is from RNAcentral.
AGACCCGAAACCCGGUGAUCUAGCCAUGGGCAGGUUGAAGGUUGGGUAACACUAACUGGAGGACCGAACCGACUAAUGUUGAAAAAUUAGCGGAUGACCUGUGGCUGGGGGUGAAAGGCCAAUCAAACCGGGAGAUAGCUGGUUCUCCCCGAAAGCUAUUUAGGUAGCGCCUCGUGAAUUCAUCUCCGGGGGUAGAGCACUGUUUCGGCUAGGGGGCCAUCCCGGCUUACCAACCCGAUGCAAACUGCGAAUACCGGAGAAUGUUAUCACGGGAGACACACGGCGGGUGCUAACGUCCGUCGUGAAGAGGGAAACAACCCAGACCGCCAGCUAAGGUCCCAAAGUCAUGGUUAAGUGGGAAACGAUGUGGGAAGGCCCAGACAGCCAGGAUGUUGGCUUAGAAGCAGCCAUCAUUUAAAGAAAGCGUAAUAGCUCACUGGUCGAGUCGGCCUGCGCGGAAGAUGUAACGGGGCUAAACCAUGCACCGAAGCUGCGGCAGCGACACUGUGUGUUGUUGGGUAGGGGAGCGUUCUGUA